UUAAGGAUAACAUGUCUCUGAUAAGUUAUGCACAGCGACAGAAAAUGCACCUUCAGAGGACAAUUCUACAGGCUUAGCCUUAAAUUUUCAAGGAAGGAUAUUCAGCGCAUCUACCAGGAGAGCUCUUCUACGUUGAACGCCCAAAUCCAGUUUCAAAAUGCAGCCAUUAAAGAGGUAACCAAUGUUGCAUUUUAUGAAUCCUCUGUUUGCAAGGAGCUUGGACAUCCACAGCUUUCUCUACAAACUAGGAUGACAAAUAAAGUAUAUCAUUAGACUAUUACUGUUGUGUUGUUGAUUGUAAAAUCACCAUCCUUAACCCACCGAAAUGACAAUCAACUUAUGAUCACUGAAGAUUGAAGUCCAGCAUUUGAAUUGCUUUGCACUUCAAGUAUAUAUAAGAUCAUAAGCUCGUGUUAUUUAUAGGGUAUUUGUGAGUGUAGCGGUUGUUUUUUAAAGUGUAUUUCAAUUUGAAAUGCAUUAAAAUACUAUUUUUAUUUUUAAAAAAUUAUUUUCAAUAUCAGCACAUCAAAAAAUCCAAAAACAUAAAAAAAAUUAAUAUUUUAGAUACUUUUGAAAUGUAAUUUCAAAUCACCUGUUGUGGGUUGUGUGUGUGUGUGUGUGUAAGGAGUAAUGCUAUGGUUUGUAUUUCAAAUAGAAAAAAAAAAUCCUAGUCAUGAAUUAGCUGUGAAUUACUCAAUACCCUGAUUGCCAUAAACAUAAUAUAUACCACGAGGACAUCAUAUGUUAGCUUUCAAUCAGCAUUGGUGAAUGGAUGGUGGCUCACCAUUAUUCAUGUACAGCCGGUUAUUGUGGGCUACAUUGUGUUAGUAUUUGUACCACUGUUCACUGAGGUAGGAUUGCCGCGGUUUUGAUCCCCAACAACAACUUCGGCUCCUUCAUCGGAAGUCAUUUCAUGCACAUAGGCAGUAUCAGGUGAAGCUCGGUUUCUUUCCGGAGUGUUAGGGGCAACAGUAUUUGCAUUGGAGGCAAUAAAAUUUGUACCACUAUUCCCCGAGGUAAGAUUGUCAUGGUUUUGAUUUUCUCCAACGUCUUCGGCUCCUUCAUUGGAAGUCAUUUCAUGCACGUUGCCAGUCUCAGGCGAGGCUCCAAUAUUUUCAGGGCCUGUGACAGGGUGAACUCUAGAUUCAGUUCGCCUAAGAUGAUGGACGGAGGGAUCUUUCUGGUCAAAACGCUUUGCCACCUCAAGAAUUCUCAGCCACAUGGAUUGUUCUUCAUGCAUUGUGUUUGAAGCAGGAUAAUUUGAGCAAAGGAACCUGAUGAUAUAUAUCAGGAGCGAAGAUAUGGAAGCAACUCCAGAGAUAAGGAAGAGGCCCGCGAAGCUAGACAACCUAAGACCACCUGAAGAGGUUUCAGGUCCUUGGUCUUCACAGGUGAUUUCCCUACCAAAGCUUUUCCUCUUAAUUGCUUCCAUUUUAUCAUGAUCUUCAGUGACAUUCAAGAUUGCUCUCGAGAUAUAAGAGACUAGUGGGGAGUCAAGUGGGAAGGCCUAUAAUGAAAAAAAGAAGAAGAAAAUAGAUCGAGCUGAUUAGAAAGUUUACUCACUGCAUUAAGUUCUGUAAUAGUUAAAUACAUGCUUAACAAUGGCUAAUCACUUUUGCCUUAACUAUAAGUAGCCUGAUAAUCAUGGAGUUCUACUUAAAACCUAACAACUUCAGAAGAGAGAGAGAGAGAGAGAGAGUUACUCACAAAGCCAAAUCCAUCGGUUGGAUAGGUUGGUCCUACCAUUUGAAAUUUAGAGCAGCGGGACUUGUCGUCAAGGAAGCGUUUAACGUAGGGAAUUUCAUCAAAGAUAGCAGCCACACCACCAUUAUGAGACCCUCUAGACAACGCAUCGUGAUACUCCUCUGGAGUGCUAUAUUCCCUCAACAUCGUGUCACUGAAAUUUAAUUCUUUUUUAAGGAAAUCUUUCACAAAAGAAUCUUUCUGGUGUCCAACAAAGUAAUUAUUCCUCCUGAUCUCUGCGACAUCAACAAAUGCGGGAUGCAUCCGCUGUACUGUUAGCAUUGAGGCUAAGCUAGCAGUGUAACUCUGAGAUAUAAUAAGUACCACAAACAUCCAUAUGAUCAAGACAAAUCUUGUCAGGUUGUUCUCUGGCCUCUCCCCUAUUACGGCAAAAAAAAAAUUACAAAAUUAAUGAUUCAUGCUCAUACAUUAGAAUUUCAUUUUAGUUGCGCUUGUAAUCAAUUAUGAAAAGAAAGUAAAGAAGAUAAAAACACGAAAGCUAGAGAAGUUAAUUACUAUGUGCAAAGACCAGUGUUGAGAAGGAGAACCAGAUAACUGUGCCCAGUUGUUGCUCUGGUGUUCCCCUAAACUCUCUGUUUAUACGGUGUUCGAGCACCCAUACCACUAAACCUGUGACAAAGAAGGCUAGUCCAGUUACCAACCAAAGUUUCGGGGUUAGUGGCUUCAAGAAAAUCCACAUGUUAUCCCUCUCAUCGCGUUUCAUCAAAACCACCAUUGUUACGCCUGAUUCCGAGUAAGGCAAGGUGAAAUCUACAUAUGAUGAGCGAUAAGCCACUAUCGUUGUAUCUCCAACCACUGCAUCAAAUUUCUGAGAGACAAACAAGACAAGGUCACUCUUUUUAUGAACUUUUAAGCUUUUUACUGCAGCAAAUUAGAAUAGAAAAAUGGAUUUUAAGUAGCUUAACACGGACCUUAAGUUUGAUUUGCCGAAGAAGAUCAUCGUAAGUCCCGGCACUCUUCCUACUAUCGUUCAUAAAGGGUAUGAAAUCAUACGGAAGGGGAAAUGGUAAUAUAUCAUGCACUGCACGGAAAACCUCUGCAGAGAAGCCUGAAACAAUAGGCUCAUUGCUCUGCUGAUGCCAUUUGACUUCUAUAAAUUCGCUAAACCGCCUGUCACUGGAACCCCAAUCCUCAAUUUCUUCGGUUGUUGUGUUGUGCCUCCUGGCCAAAUUGGAUGCUUCAGUUUGGUUUUGGAAUUUGAGUGUGAUAUUUUACUACUGCUAUCCAAGCUCUGAGAAAGUCCUCCUUUUGGUGUCCAAUAUCCAAUAACCCUCUCUGAUCUCCCCACCACAUUGAAUAUUUCAAAGGCGAAAGGUGCCAUCUCACCCUUGACCAACUGGAACUUUCCACUCAAGCCAUCAAAUUUAGUGUUUAAUAUGGACUUCAGGAGUCUUGGCCCCAUUUCUGAGAUUCCCAAAGCCGCAAGAUCAACUGACCUGCUGCUUGCGUUUUGUUUUAAGAACCUAGAAUGCACAAUGCCAGCCCUCUCCACUGCCAUUGCUAUCGCCCAAACUGUAUCAUAUGCCCAUAAACCAAAGAGGUUUUCAGAGUUGAAAUUCCUUUUCCAUCUUGAUUUGAAACCUUCAAGCUCUUUAGAUUUUGGUACAUAUGGCUUUACACCUAAUACACCUUCCAUAGAAUCCAUUACUUUUGCGUCCACGGGAUCUAAUAAGGUGGACAAUCCUGUUGUCACGAGCCAUGCAUACCCUUCACUCAUCAUUCCUGCGCUUUUGGCGAGUAAGAAUAGUCUGGAUCCCAUGGAGGCUGUCAUGUGCACCAGAAACACGCUUUCCUGCAUUUUCUUUAUUUUGUGGAGCUCGCUCAUGAUUUCAGUGUCAUGGAAAGACGAUGGAAUGCAACUUUCAUAGGGAACUCGAGUACCAAUCGCGUGGAAGGCAUUUAGCAAAUAUGGAACCAAAGCAAUGCCAUAUUCUGUGCCUUCAUAGAUUAGAACAAUUUCCCUCCAACCAUAAGUUUUGACAAUGCUGGCAAUGGCUUCCACUUGAGAAGAAUCACUUUGAGCUGUCCGGAUAAAGUAAUUGCUUUGAACUGGAGUGAGAGCAGGACUAGUAGCUGAAAAGGAGAGAAUUGGCACACGUGUCUUGGCUCCAAGCUCUAUCACAAACUUGGCUUCCGAUGAUCUUUGAGGCCCUAUGAUUGCUUCAACUUCUUCAUUUUUCAUUAAAUCCAGUGCUGCAUUUUGUAAAGUUAGUUUUUUAAUUAAAAUAUGCUAUAUUUUAAAUUGUAAAAAUGAACUUUAUUUCUAGCGAUAGCAUGGCAUGAUGUUAAGUGUGGGCAUGAUUCGACAAAACAUUUUUCAUUUAACAAAAAAAAAAGAGUUAUGGCAAUUUUACUGUGAAUGAUAAUGUGGAUACAAACUAAUUUAAAUGUGGAUAUUAAUAGUGAUAACACUGUUUUUACCCUUAAUCUAUCAGAAGUUAGGUUGUGCUGGGAAGGCUACUGUGGUUUUUUAGUUCCAUUAUGGCUAAUCUGACUUUUCUGCCUGACACUAAAUUUCUCUGUGAAGAUUAUUAGUAAUAUAAAUAAUGAGAAAUUGUGGCUAUGUCAUGAGAGAUAGGUUAAAUAAAAAUAAGAUAGAUAUUUAGGAAUCUCAAAUGCACUUCUAGUUUUAGUUUAUGUUUUGAAAAUAAAAAACAUAUUUUAGAUAGAUACACAAAUGUAUAUAUAACUAGUGAUAUUGAUUUCAGAAAAUUCAUAUCGAGAUACUUAAUGACUUUUGUAAUGAAGCAGUUUCAUAGCAAUCAAUGUUGCAACAAUAUAAACUAGGCUUAAUAGUUGAAUUAUCCAAUACGAAAGUUGAAUACAUUGCUCUUACUAAAAAGGAUAAAUAGUUGUUAAGGAUAAAAUUUUUUUUAUAUGAAUUGUUAAGGAUAAAAAAGUUUUUAUAUGAAUUUGACCUAAUGUAAAAAAUCUUUGAGUUGCCCUGUGACAUACAAAAUUCAAUUCAUUUUAGUGAGUAUCAUAUUAUCCAUUCUCGAUCAAAAUACAUUGAAAUUAGAUAUCAAUAGAUUCAAAAUGGUAUGAAAAUAAAGUCUUUAAUUGUUGAAAUUAUUCAUAUCAGUAACAAUGUAUAAAAAAUAAUAAUCAAGUUUUUUCGUGAGAAAAGUUUGAAUUAUAUAGAAGAUAAACAGGCUUGGCAGAACCCACCAAAUUAAAACUUACAAGCCGAUCACCGGUAAGAAAAACUCCACACAUGGUGGUGCAAGAGGAGGAGAUUCGUUAGGGUCUCACACCACCACCACACAUUCGAAUUAAAACUAACAGAGACAUGGUGCAUGUGUCGUGUGCCUCUCAUUUAAAUAUAGAAGAGCAGCAAUGGGUUUUGUAAGAGAAAAAGAGAAGAGCACACCAGGAGAAAAACCAAAAAGAGACAGCUUGGGCAGCCUGUCUUCAAUCUCAUAUUUGAAGCCCAUUCACAAUUUUAUCAAGCUAAAAUCAAGUUCUAGAAAUAUAGCUAUUCAUUCUACACGGUUGAAUUGAAAAUUAAAUUGAAGUGUCUAAGUUAGUUUGGUGAGGAUUUCUAUCCACGUUUUCUCUUUAAUAUAUCUUUGUAUUCCAAGAAUAAGUUAAUCCCUUUGUUUUGAAAAAGAAUGAAUACUUUGUAAUUCUAUUAUAUGUUGACAGUGAAAGUUUUGAGAUAUAAUAAGAUAUUUUCGACAACGAGUAUUCAAAGUAAAAAAUGUGAUUGAUUGUUUAAUAUUAUUGAUUGAUUAAUCCUAUUUUACUUACAAAAUAAGAGGAAAGAACUAGGAUUUUUGGAUGGUGAAUUUUCUCAACAAACUCAUUGUAGGCAAUGAAUUUAGUUAAUUUUGUAUUACUACUCAUUUUCAGAUAAAAUACUUGCAAGCCAAACUAUCUCAAACCUUCACAAAUUUUUAAAAUAAAAAUAAGUAAACUAUCAAAUAAAAUGUAGAAUCACACAAAAAAUAUCCGAUAAACUAGACAUAAAAACCUGUUUGAUAUUGCGAUAAAAAAAACAAUUAAAAAUGUAAAAAGAAUUAAUUCCAGAGUUUUUUUAUAUAAAUUCAAUUGCAAUAUCAAUCCCAUCAUCAAAUAUAUAUAUUAAAUAUGAGAUUAUUGAAAAUAUAUAAAUAAAAAUAAAAAGGGAAAAAAAAUCAUUGAAAAAUACCAUCAAUUCUAGUGCUUUAAUUAAGCACAAGAUCUGGUUUGAAAACACCAUGAGAGAGAGAGAGAGUAUAAAAUUAAUAAAGCAUCUGAAUAUUUGCUGUUAUGAUCUUUACAUGUUCAGUGCAUUUUAGGCAGAACACAAAAGUGGCCAGUGGUACCUGCAGACGCUGCUGUCACGACAUCCCCUUCGGAAUCCCUGGCGACGAGAGAGAUUCUAGUUCGAUAAUGAGCAUUCCGAGCAUAAAAAUCAGUUUCUGCAGCAGAUAUGCAGCUCUCUGCUGUUUUUCCGACAGCUGAGUUCAUAUCAAGAACCACUCCAACUCGUAUGAUCACCUUCCCCAUUGUCACCUGCUCACUCCACAGAAUGACCGAGAGAAAGCAAAGAAAACAGUAGAAGCUCUUCUGCUUUGCCAUUCUCAUGAAGAUUGUUGUUGAUGGCAACUCUGCUUACGCUUAGUAUUUGUGGAGCCAUUAGCAAAUUUUAGCCAGCUCAUAUUUGGACGUACUUGUCACGACCAUGUUGUGUCAUUGUCAAAAUUAAAUGUUUCUCACGUUAGAAGUGACUCCUUGUUUUUUUAAUUAAAAAUAUAGUAAAACAGUAUUUUUAGCUCUUUUAAUAUCUAAUAUCAGCACAUUAAAUAUACAAAAUAUUAAUUUAAAAAUCAUUUUAAAAAAACACCUACGAGCAGGGGCGGAAGUAGGGGGGCAACUAGGAGCCCGGGCCCCUACAAGACAUUUGUUUAAUAAUUUGAUGAUGUUUAUAUAUAUAUAUAUAUAAUCCUAUCAUUUUUGCUUCUUCUUUUUUUCUCAGAUCUGUUAGUUCUAUCAAUUAGUUUUUUGAAUUUUUGUUAUAGUGAUUUUUUUUCUAAUUAAUUAGAUAUAUUUUAUUGGUUUGUUUUUAUUAUGCUUAGAUUUUUUUUAUAUAUUUUGUUUUUAGCAGAGCCACCGGAAUUAUCAAUUUUUUUUUCUUACGAUAUAUGUUUUAUUUUAGGUUGAAUCAUAAACAAAAUAAAAGGAAUUGAUUUAAAAAAAAAUCAAUAUUGAUAACUCAUAGCCUACUGAACGAGCUUUUUCAGUGAUGAAUGUUGUUAUAACAAGACUUCGCAAUUGGGUGGAGGAUGAUUUUCUUGUGAAUUAUUUGAUUGUCUAUAUAUAAAAAGAAAUUGCUGAAAGAUUCACAAUUAAUAUGAUAAUUAAUGAUUUUUAUUCUAUAAAAGAACUAUGAGUACAAUUAAAAUAAAUAUGUAAAAAUCAUUCUUUAUUAUUUUUUGUUUUAUUUCAAAGUUUAUCAAACAUAAAUAAUGAUUCGUUUUAGCUAGUGUUUCUUAUAUACUUUGUAUGUUUAUAUUUGACAGGUAUAAAGACCAACAAUAUUAAAGUGAUAGAUACAUUAUGAAGAUAAAAUUAAUUUCAUUGCUUUGACUCAAUUUGAUAUUGUUCCAAAUAUUUUACCUUAUACAAAGGUCAUUAUAUGUUUAUAGUAAGUUAUUUGAAUAAAACUAAAUUAUACAUGUUUUGUUUUACAACUCAUGUACAAUAAAUUAAAACAAAUAUUAUAUUUUGUUAUAUUAAUUUUGAUCCCCGUUAAUAAAUAAUUCUAGCUCCACCCGUGUAAAUUGUGACACAACAAUAUCAUUUUUCACUUAAUCAUUUUUAUUAAACAAUAAGAAAUAUCUUCUAACUAAAUUAUGUUUAUUUUGAGAUUUAUUUGUACAAUAUAUACUUUUUUUUUCCCUUUUCUUUUUUCUCUACUGUAUGUAUUUUGAAAAAGUCACACUUUCCGACUUUGAUAUUUGAAAAAGCUUGACUUUUAUUAAAUUUCAUUAUUUAAGAAAAUAUAUUUUCAAAAAGAUUUAUCUGGCAGCAAGAUCGAUAAAUAACAAUUGUGAAUUUGCGUUCCGUGUUUGACAUUCCGGUUUAAAAAUAUUUUUAAAAAAAAUUAAAUUUUUUUUUUGAAUUAAUAUAUUUUUGAUGUUUUUAAAUUAUUUUGAUGUACUAAUUUCAAAAAUAAUUUUUUAAAAAUAAAAAAAAUAUUAUUAACAUAUUUUUCUAAAUAAAAAAUACUUUAAAAAGUAACAUCAAUCACACUUUUAAACACCCUAGUUCAUACGAUUCAACCAUUUUUGUCCAUACGAUGCAUAGAAUCAAACAUGCAGAGAGGAAAAGGUUGCUUUCUUCCAUACGGCAGCGGCAGGUCAGAUGCAUCUUUCAGCUGUCGAAGUCCAAAGGGCACCGCGUGUAACUGUGUUAAAAACAAAGACAGAUAGAUUUUAUUUGCUUUUGUAUUUUAAAAAUAUAUUUUAAAAAAAUUAAUAUUUUUUUAUUUUAAAUAAAUAAUUUUUAAUAUUUUUAAAUAAUUUUGAUAUGCUAAUAUUAAAAAUAUUUUUAAAAAAAUAAAAAAAUAUAUUAUUUUAAUGUAUUUUUGAAUAAAAAAUAUUUUAAAAAACAAUUAUUAUUAUAUUUUCAAAUAGAUUAUUAAUAUUUAUUUUUGGGAUGUAAAAUAUUUUAUGUAUUUUUUAAAAAAAAUAUAUAACGUUGAUAGGAUUAUAAAAUACAAAUUAAGUUUAUGGCAUAUCUAUAACCACGACAUGAGAUACAAGAAUUAGCUGUAAUAUAUAUAUUUUUUUUGUAUGGACAAAAAUUAAGUUUAUGGUAGACCAUAAUUCAGACUUAGCCAACCAUCGCGGACAAUUCUGAAGUUGACUUGGCCACAAACACAUCUUAAAUUUUAGUUAAAAGGCACGUAACUUGAGAUUUUUGUUUCAUGGCCAAAUUAUCUCAACCAUACUAAUUUUGUAUAUUUUUUUUUUUAAAAAAAGAAAAACCAGAAAUAUACAAAAGAAAAGAAAAUUUAUCCUAUUUCACAAGCUUCAACUAUUUUCAUAUAAUUUAUUCCAUUUCUUGAAAUUUAACUAUAUUUAUAUGUUUUCUUGAUUUUUAAUAUUUUUAUGAUCAUCAGUGAAAAGAACAUUAAAAAGAAUAGAGAGAAGAAAUACAAUCUAAACAAAAGGAAAUGAGAAAAAAAAAUUGAGAAAACAAAAGGAGUUUAAAACAAAAAAUAAUGAGAAAAGGAUAAUAUAAAUAUAUUAAUUUAUUAAAUUUAAUUAAUAAUAUAUUUUAUAUAUUAUUUUAUUACAUACCAUUCAAUUUUUACAUUGCUUUUAUUCAUCUUUUUAUAAUGUAAGCAAUUUUUUUACACACCAUUAUUUUUUUAAAUCUUAUCUAAUUGCUUUUUCUAAUAGUGUAUAUUUUUAUUUUUAUAUAGUUAAAUAAAAUUAUUCAUUAAAAAAUACAAGAAUCUCUCUCACACUUUAAAUUGAAAAGUUCAGGAGUGUUAUUCAUCAAAGGUUUUGGAAUUUAGGCUUCAUAUGUGUUUAAAUAGUUUUUAAAAAUUAACCUUAAUGGACAUACCUUUAUAGGCUGAAUUAAUCUAUUUACAAAAAUUGGCUCAAUACCCUUACUAGUAAGCUCAAACUCUAAUCCUAUUAAGUCUUGGAUCCUAGCUAAAAAAAAAAAUUAUUAAUUAAGCCUAAAGAAGCAUUGGGUUAUAGCUAAUAAAAAUAAAGCUUAUAAGUUUAAAUCUUGUUCAAUCGUGAGAAGAGAAGAAGAAACAAAAACUUUAUAGGUUUAAUACAAGACUUAUUUAUAGCAUAUAAUGCUACUUAAUAAUCCUAGAAACUAAAUAAGAAGUUGUCGCCCUUUUAGUUUCUAAGUUAGAAUAGAAUUCUGAUCUCAAUCUUGGAUUUAUCCUUCUUUUGGAAGGAAAAUGAUGUUGCCUUUACUAUCCUCUUUACCACCACUUGUGUUUCCUAAAUCAGCUUGGAUUCCUUUGUUUUCUUUGCUGUGUUUUCUCCUCACUUGACAAGGAAAAUAUAAUAAAUCUUAAUGUUUAAAGAAAAUAAUUAAUGUUCCCACACAUAAUAGGAAAUAAAAAACUAGCUAGAAAUUCACAAAAUACAUGAAAACAUCACAGAACAAAGCUGGUCAAAACUAAUACAAAAUUGACAACCUUGUUGUCGAAACUUCAUGGUGUAAAUAAGGGUGGAUUGGAUCACUCUUGCACACAUAUUAAUGUUGAAAGAUGAAAUUAAAAAAAGAAAAAAGAAAAACACUAUUCCAAAAAAUAGUGUUUUGUAAGGAGGGGAAUAGUUAAACCCUUUCCGUUUUUAGUUUUUUGUUUACUAGAUUUGUGACCCACACUUAGUCGCAACCUAUAAAUUUUUUUUUCAACAUAAAAAAAGAAUGCCAACCAAAAACAAUCAAAGACUUGAUUUAUUGGUUUAGUUGCUAAUUUAAAUAAUAUGAUUAAAAAAAUGCAAAAACAAUAAAUAAAAAUACACAAAAAUGACAACAAAAACAAAUGUAAAAAGAACCUGAUAUGAGCUAAUUCGGAUUAUAAAACAACUCAAUGAUUAAGGGAAAGUUAAAAAAAAUAAACAAAAAACCCGAUUAAAUUGGGUUAACUCACAAACUUUGCAACCAUAAACAUAAGGUUGACAUAGUCUCAUAUAAAGAAACAAAUGUAAAAAAGUUCAAUGACCAAUUCUUAAUAAAUCAAAUGAGAACAUGAUAACUACAUAAAAAAAUAAAGCUCUAUCUCCAACAAAUAAAAUGUUGAAGGAUAAAAGUUAAUAAAAAAUAAUAUGAAUUAAAAAGGGUAAAAAAAACUUGAUCCAAGCCCACUUGAUCAACACGCAAAACUUUUUAUCAAGUCGUGAUACCAGGGUGACCUCUAAAUAAAAUUGAAUGAUAUCAUGAAACUCAAUUAUCAAACAAUUUAAUGUUGAAGGAUGAAAAAAUAAGUAAUGGAAAAAAUAUGAGUCAACCUGGGUUAAUCCGCAAACCAUGCAACCAUGAAAACCAUGAAAUCCUUGAAUUGUGUUCAAUCAAAAAAUUUAAUUCCUAACUAAUUUAAUUUUUAAGGAUAAAAUCAUGAAAAAAAUUCAAUUUAAAAAACUUCUCAAAGGAAAAAGGAUAGCAAUAAAAAAAAGAAUCUAAUAUGAUCCAAGUAAGGUCAUAUUUGAUUUUUUAUGUAAAAUUUUCUAUUGUUCAGUUUUACAUUAACAAGUAUAACUUUCAAAUCCAUUGUUUGAUUGAAAUGAGGUUUUUAGGGUGAGUCCAUUUUCUCUUCUUUAGUUUUCGAUUGAAUAGUAUCCUCUUUGACAUUGCAAUUGUGUAUCAAUGCAAUCAUUUCAUUGGCUUCCAUUAAAAAAUUGAAUGAAAAUUAUUUUAAUCUCUAAAUUUUAAGAUUUAAUCAAGUAGAACCUUAUAAAAGUAAUAUAUUUUAUUUCCUAUUAAUAAUUGCAAAUGAUGUCAUGGUUAGUUCAACUAAAAAUAUAUUCUCUUUGGACGCCUUAUAAAUUAUUUAACUAAUUCUUAUUACGUGGGAAAAAAGAGAGGAAAACUAAUGUGAAUUUUUGAAAUUGGUGACUCUGGUUAUGAAUCCGAUAUUAAUUCCAUAGAAGGCAAACCAUAAAAAAUAACAAAUUAAAACUCUAAAAAACAAGCUAAAAAAGACAUUAGCUUUUAAAAAAUAAACAAGUCAACCUAGACAAAUCUUUUAAACACAGUCUAAUCUUUAAGACUCACAACUCCUAAAAUUCUUGAACCAAGUUCAAUCAAGAAACUUAAUUUUCAACAAAUUUAAUUUUGAAGGAUGAAAUCGUGAAAAAAAUAUCAAUUUAAAAAACUUGGCAAUUAAAAACAAUAUCAUAAAAAAAAUAAGGAUCAAAUUUGAAAAAAAAAACCAUGGAGGAUGAAAUUAUAAAAAUAAAAAUCUAAAAAAUGAUCAUAAAAAAAAUAAAUAGCAAUAAAAAGAACAAUGACUAAAUUUGAGUGUAAAAAAAUAAAAAGGAGGAGAAAUUGAAAAAAAAAUAUAAUUUUAUAACUUAUUAAAAAUAUAUAAAAAAAAUGAGGAUCAAAUUUGAAACAAAUAAACCAUGGAGGAUGAAAUUAUAAAAACAAAAAUCUAAAAAAUAAUCACAAAAAACAUAAGUAGCAAUAAAAAGAACAAUGACUAAAUUUGAGUGGAAAAAAAUAAAACAGGAGAGAAAUUAAAAAAAAAUAUAAUUUUAUAACUUAUAAUGAGAUAAUAAUAAAAAAUGAGGACCAUAACUAAAAGAUUAAAAGUCAAAAGGGGUGAAAUAAAAAAAACAUUUAUAAUUUCAUGAGUUAUUAAAAAUAUAUGUAAUCAAAAGGACACAAAAUAUGAAAGGGAAACAAAUUGCAUGGGCUAAUCUGAUUUUUUAAAGGGGCUAGCACAAAAUUCAGGGUAGGGAGAGAGAGAGAGAAAAAAUAAACUAUUGUCGGUGUCAAUCUUGAUGUAUAUUAGGGGCACACGUUACCUCAUUUCGUUGAGGUCGCCAAUUUUUUUUAAUUAUAUUUAAUUAAUAUAAAUUAAACCAAAUUUUUUUAAUACCCUUGAAAUUUACAAUAAAAUCAAUGUAAAAUUAUAAGAAGCUCUUCGGUGAGAGUUAUGUUGUUUUUAUCUUUAAAGACAUCAAAGUAAUUACACUAUUUUAAAAAAUUAAAAAGACAAAAAUGUCCCUUAGUAGUAAGCAUUAUAUUAUUUUAUUUUAGGGUUAAAUUAGUAAUUGUAUAGUAAAAAAGAUGAAAUGACCAAACUAAUCCUAUAUAAUUUGUUAAAGACAAUUGUAUCACGAUGAAAAAGCCAACUUGCCUUUACACCUACUUCAAAGGCUUUUUGUUUUGUUUUCUAAAAAAAAUUUUAUAAUUAAACUUUUAUAAUAAAGUAUUCUAAAUCUUGGAGAUUUAUUUAUUUUUUAAUUUAAUUUAAUAAGUUUGGUUGUGUUCAAGGAAAAAAAAAAUUUAGCAUGUGACUGAUCUCUUUCCUAGAGAAGACCAGUCAAACAUUCAGACCAGAUCAUGCAUUCAGACAACAAGUAUGAUCGAUUAAUUAUUUUUCUUCGUUGACCGAGUAGAUUGUCUUUUUUAUAUGUAAAUAUCGAUUGUUCCAAUAAUCUGGGAAAACUUGGAUAGGAAUUUCCCACUUCCUUAAUGUGACCUCGUAGUAUUUAUUUUUAAAACAUAUAACAUAUACACGCAUAAACUUUCCAUUUAACUUAAUCACUCCAAAGUUUCAUUCCCUUAAUGCAACAAUUUUUUUUUAAAUAAUAAAUUCGAUAGAUCUUCGAAUGCAAUCUGAAUCCUUUAUUAAUUUUUUUAUUAUAUUAUUUUUAACUUUAUUUUAGGAUUCAAAUUUGGAUUGAUAUUUGAAAAAUCUGAUUAUAAAACUCCAUUUAAUUUCUCAAUCAAAUUUAAAUAUACUAUGAUGAUGUGAAACAUUUUUUGGCUCCAAAAUUUGGUAAGGGAAUGGUUGUUGUUUUUAUUUAAAUAUAUAUUAGAAAAUCAUUGCAAUUUAUUCCACUAGAUGAGUGUAGAUUUUAUUUUAAAUGAUUUUUAUUAAUCUAAUAAGGAUUAUUCCUACAAUCAUUGUGUUUGGAGUUUUUAAUUUUUUAAAACCUAUGUGGUAUAUUCCACUUGAUGUGUGUGGAUUUAUUUCCAGAAUAUUUUUAAUUCAAUGCAUAUUAUUCCUCCAUUUGGUUUAUUUCACUAGCUGAAUUUGAAGUUUCAAAUGUUUUUAAACUAAUUCAAUUUAUUUCACUCCAUGUGUGUGAAUUUCUUUUCAAAUAAUUUUUAAUUUGAUGAUGAUUAUUUCUCCAUUCAGUCUUAAAUUAUUUUUAAAGUAACGCGGUUUAUCCCAUUUCAUGCAUGUGGAUCUUUUAAAUCAAUGUGUAUUAUUCCUUAAUUUUUUCGUUGCAUUUAGAAAUGUCAAAUAUUUUUAAAUCAAUGUAGUUUAUUCUGCUUAAUACGUGUGGAUUUCUUCUCGAAUGAUUUUAAUUUGAUACAGAUUAUUUUUCUAAUGUUGUGUUUGGAUAUUUUAAUAUUCUUAAGCUGAUGCGAUUUAUUCCACUGCAUGCAUUUGGAUUUCUUUUCAAAUGAUUUUUGAUCCAUUGCAAUUUAUUUUCACUUGUUUUGUAUGAGCUUUUGAUUUUGUUUUUUCUGAAACUAAUCUUCACUCAUUCCAUGUGGAGCUUCCAAGAUAAUCUUUGUAACGAACAAGAAGGGAUUUAGAAUUCACCUUAAAACAAAGGAGGAUUGAUUUUGGAAAUGAAUUCGAAAAAAGUAAGAAAACUUAUCAUGCAUGCAUGCUAUUAUUUCACCUAAAUUAACAUGUUUAUUGAAGGUAAAAAUUCGUAGGAAAUUAAUUUGAAUUUAGGCUUGACAACAAAGGUUAAUCCUCUCACCAUUAUGGGGAUAAGAUUCAAAAUAAUAAUUAAUGGUGACUCAAGUUUUGAAUUAUUUCUUUUAAUUACCCAAUAUAUAUUAAUCUAUUUUACCAAGAAUAUCCAUUAUAAAUAACCAUAAACGUUUCACCCAACUCAAUUGAUAUAAACAAGCAUAGUUGAACAUAGCAAGAAAAAAAAUCAUGAAUAUACUAUAAAUUUAUUCAAAAUAACAUACACAUAUACAUAUGUAUGUGAUUAAAAAUUAAAAAAUAAUAUAUCAUAAAUUUAUUUGAACAACAAAUAAAUCAUAUAUGGGAUUAAAGUUGACCUUUAUGAGUCAUUGAAGUUAGCCGGAAUGAGAAGAAAAUUGUUGAAGAAAAUAGCAAUAGUCCUGAACAGGUUUAAUUUCGGAGCAUCAUUCCACAUGCCACUAGGCCAUACCACUAGGCCAUAGAGGCUUGUGGACUAUUAUGCAAUGCAACUUAACUCCCUCUUCUUCGUUCUAGCAUCGAUGGUGUAGACCACCUCAUCCUGAGGUGGGAGAUUGGUGAUUAUGAAGGAGACAUUUGUUGUUAAAUGUGUUUUUAAAUUGCUACUAUUUUUUUUUCUUCUUUUUACUAUGUCUUUUAUUUGAAUAGACUUUUUGAAAAGGUCUCUUGUUUUUAAAAUACGUGGUGUCCUCCUCUUUCCCUAAUUACUCUUAUUUAUAUUGUCUAGGAUUUUUAUAAAACAGGAAAAACUAAACUGGAAAAAUAAUAUUAGACAAUUAUAUUAUUUUUUUCUUGAUUAUUUUUUUCUAAUUAUUUAAAUUUUCUCUUCUUUGCCGCACCUAACAUCGUGACGAACCCAAAACAAAAGUGUGAUGUAUAAUUUAGAAAUUAAAAAAAUAAAAAAACGUCGCCUAAUAUUAUGAUUACUAGUAACCAUAUUUUUCAAUAAUCUAAGAUAAGGGAUUAGUAAAGCUAAAGAAAAUAUACUAUUAUCUCAAAACAUCUUACUUAAAAUAAGUUGCAUUGCUAAUUAUCUUUUAUUUCUAAUUGUUUGUUGUGCCUAUUUUACCGAGAGUCUAUGUACAUAGGUCUACUGCAAUGAGUUAAAUCCAAUGUAGGUUUUAUGCUUAAUCAUUCUAAGGUCCUAAUUAUUUUUGUCACUCCUAGUUUGUUUGGUAAAUUGACAUAUAAAUAACUAUUUACUCUUAAUCACCACAUGUGAUUCUAUUAACUUAUAUCAAUGAAUAAUUAAUUAAGUAAGUCUAUGUUGGCCUUAUUAAACAUAGCCUAGAUCCUAAAAAUAUUUUUCCUUAUUGACAUGUAUAAAUUAAAAAAAAGAUGUAAGGAUGUAUUUUUUUUUUUUUUUAGAUAGGCUUGGCCUAAAAUGCAAGAUUUGAUACAUUUUUUUUUAUUACAUGAGCAUGAAAUAAGAGCGAACAAUUAUUAACUAAGAUGCCAAAUUUUAAACCCUAAAUCCUACUGUCAUGCUAGGUAUAACCGAAGAAAAAUGUGAAAUUAAGAAAAGAAGACAUGAUGUUGCAGUUUAAAGGAAAGCAAAACCAACAGGCAUUUUCAUUUUCUUUUUUCACACUGCAAAAACAUAGAACACAGCCUACACAUCUCGACAUGCUUAUAAUGUUGUAGUUUUAAAGCAAAAACCAACGGGCACUUUCAUUUUCUCCUAAUACAACACAAGCACGCUACAUGUCCUCCACACCUCAACACAAGACAUGAUAUAAAAAAAAUCCUCUUAGAGCACAGACUGUGUUUUUUUUUUUUUUUUGUAAUGUAAUGUAGGCUUUCCUAGACAAGAAAAGGAGGAGCAAUAUAUGGCUGGAACACAAGAGGGAGGCAUGUGUGUUUGUCUCAUUAAAAUACCCUAUUUAAGCUUGCCAAAAACAACACUUAAAAGUCACUUAAGCUUCCAUCUGAGGUAGGAUUGCCGCGGUUUUGAUCCCCAACAACAACUUCGGCUCCUUCAUCGGAAGUCAUUUCAUGCACAUAGGCAGUACCAGGUGAAGCUCGGUUUCUUUCCGGAGUGUUAGGGCCAACAGUAUCUGCAUUGGAGGCAAUAAAAUUUGUACCACUAUUCCCCGAGGUAAGAUUGUCAUGGUUUUGAUUUUCUCCAACGUCUUCGGCUCCUUCAUUGGAAGUCAUUUC
This 16312-nucleotide long non-coding RNA is filed under the name Populus tremula. RNAcentral's name for it is "long non-coding RNA (PTRE_LNC002521)". The record is from RNAcentral. Lineage: Eukaryota; Viridiplantae; Streptophyta; Magnoliopsida; Malpighiales; Salicaceae.